This 117-nucleotide non-coding RNA is filed under the name Pan paniscus (pygmy chimpanzee). The record is from Rfam by way of RNAcentral. Lineage: Eukaryota; Metazoa; Chordata; Mammalia; Primates; Hominidae. RNAcentral also lists the same sequence under 1 other name.
GCUGGGCGUGGUGGCUCACGCCUGUAAUCCUAGCAGUUUGGGAGGCCGAGAUGGGCGGAUCACCCGAGGUCAGGAGUUCGAGACCAGCCUGACCAACAUGGAGAAACCCCAUCUCUA